CACCCCGCGAAAACCGAGUCGCAUGAUGACAGAUGGUCUUGCUGGACAUAAAGGAUGUGAUACCAAAUUCUUGACGCAAACUGUGUCAUUGUCGUUUAAAGGGAAAAUUGGAGAAAUUGGAAGAACAUGA
Molecule: non-coding RNA, 130 nt
Organism: Caenorhabditis elegans
Lineage: Eukaryota; Metazoa; Nematoda; Chromadorea; Rhabditida; Rhabditidae
Source: Ensembl